UCAAACCUGCCCCAUGAGCCUUGCUAGGAGC
This 31-nucleotide non-coding RNA is filed under the name Homo sapiens (human). The record is from RNAcentral. Lineage: Eukaryota; Metazoa; Chordata; Mammalia; Primates; Hominidae.